AAACCGUUGAAAGGGAAGCGAAUGGAACUUAAAAUUCGCUUUGCCAGAUUCAGUCCCUUGCGUCCUCCAACGUGAGUGUUCUCGAUCUUUUUAGACGGGACGCGUACGGACGGCGGAACGUGGGCGGUGCAUUUCUGGUAGGCGAGCGUCAACAUCACUUGGCCGCGAGUUAGAAAGCUGCGAGGAAGGUAGGUCCUUCGGGAUCGUUAAGCCUUGCCAGCAAAUAACUCGAGGCCGACUGUGGCUUGUCGCAACGCGUGCCUCCCCUCGGGGCAGGCUGGUGUCUUGUUUUGUUGGUAUGGUCGGCGAUGGCGACGGACGACGGUUGCCUGUGCGUCCGAACUGCGGCCUGUCGACAGGAUGGUGAACAUACACCACGCGUUGAGGAUGCUGACGAAAAUAGUGCUCCAUCCGACCCGUCUUGAAACACGGACCAAGGAGUCUAACAUGUGCGCGAGUCGAUGGGUGAUCGAAACCUUUGGGCGUAAUGAAAGUAAAGGCAGUCUCGACUGCUGAGAUGAGAGGCCCUUCCGUUUCGGAGGGGCCGCAUCAUCGACCGACCUCUUCUACUCUUAGAAAGGUUUGAGUAAGAGCGUGCCUGUUGGGACCCGAAAGAUGGUGAACUAUGCCUGAACAGGGUGAAGCCAGCGGAAACACUGG
This 660-nucleotide ribosomal RNA is filed under the name Chelidonisis aurantiaca mexicana. RNAcentral's name for it is "eukaryotic LSU rRNA". It matches the Rfam family "Eukaryotic large subunit ribosomal RNA", at positions 402 to 867 of the family's 3401-position model. The record is from RNAcentral. Lineage: Eukaryota; Metazoa; Cnidaria; Anthozoa; Scleralcyonacea; Chelidonisididae.